This is a long non-coding RNA of Populus euphratica (Euphrates poplar), 607 nucleotides long. RefSeq lists it as uncharacterized. The record is from RefSeq and is a predicted model, not a curated record. The transcript is spliced from 2 exons. Lineage: Eukaryota; Viridiplantae; Streptophyta; Magnoliopsida; Malpighiales; Salicaceae.
UAAUAAUAAUAAAGAAGAAGAAAAUAGUUCCAAGCUAAUUGUAGGGUGGUUCCUAUCUGCUUGGACUGCUACGUAUUGUUUUCUGCUUUCUCUUGGGUGCAACUUCUUAAGUUUCUCCGGUUUGUUAUGCUCCUUCCAGCAACUUUUAGUUCUUGGACUGGGAGCAGCAAUGAACGUUGCUGUAAAUGAUCAUUAAAGGGCAUUGUUUUGCAGUUAUUAGCAAAUGAAAGAAGAGGAUGAAUAUCAGGUACCAUGUAAACUAGCUAGACCGUGAUGCUAUACCGUUCACAGGGUUUUUUUCCUCCCUUGCUAAUAACUACUUAUAUGAACAUUUCAUUUUUAUAUCUAAGCAUUCCAAAGAUUUUCAACAUUGGUGUUUGAAAAGGCGACUUUUUAUUCAGAGAAGAACACUUGCGGGAAAUAGAUGGAAACAAAUCAUUGCAUCAAUGUCAGUUUCCUUGCAUAUUUUUACUUUAACAUGAAAAUCAACAUAGUUUUUAAUGCUUCCUCACAGCAGUUCAGUGAGAUAGGGGAAAGUUUAUACAUUUCCAUGAUCAUGUGAGCUUGUUGAGGAAUGUUGAUGCAGUUGCAAUGGCAUCCCCAGCAA